GAGAGAGGAGCUCUGUUUGCGAGCUCCUCUCAGUGGAGUUUCUGGGCCCUGAUCGACCUGUGGAUGGUCCGAGUGUCGGACCGUACGGGAGUCGGGGCUUUGGGAGUGGGGUGGGCGGUUGGUGGCGGCAGCCGCAGCAGUAGUGCAGGCCGAUUCAGCCUGUAAUUUGGCUGCAUUGGGCGACAGCGGCAGCCAAUUUUGGCCCUUUGGUGAUCGAGCUUUUGGUUGGGGGUUGGGCUCGGGCAGCUGGGUGGGCGGUCGGCCGCGGCAGCAAUUGGGGCUGAUACGACCCGUUGUCGGGAUGUUUGGGGUGCCCCCGUCCCAUUGGGAGCGGCUCCAGUCAAGUGGGGUGGCUGCAUUGGCGGCGGGCCCGACAGGGGGUGUCUGGGAGGCCUUGAAUCUGGCUCUUGGGGCCUACUGGCCGUUUGGAUUGGCAACGGGGUGAUUGGUUGGCAGCGGUGGGGUGGCUGCUGGGGAUUUGAAUUGGUCUUUUGGGGGUGCUUAGCUGGUUUGUUGGGAGGCUCCGGGCCGGCUGGGUGUGGCUUCCUCUGUAGCAACUUUAGAGUUACGACAGUCAAUGUUUAAAAUUUAUUGAAUAAAUAAUUGAAUGGAUAAAUAUAUAAGUAAAUAAAUAAACCUUAUAUAAAAAACACAAAAAAACCCCACAUCUAAACACAAGCAAAUUCUCUUUAUACCUGGGGUGGAGUGAUUUGUGAUUAUGCCUCCCAAGAAGGCAAAAGGGAAAUCUGGAGGCCAGCCAGUCAAGCCACCUAAGCGACCUGCGCCCCAACCAUCAUCUUCGGAUGAGGAUGAUGAGGAAAUGACACUCAUUAGGGCAAUGAUUCAGCGGAUGGAAGCUUUGGAGCAUGCCAGGGCGCUGCCCCAGGACAAAGGGUCAGGGCCUUCUGGUGGGGGGGGGGCAAGCCCCUUAGGCGGAUGUAGGGAGCUGCGAGGACUCAGUUAAUUCAUUCUUUAUCUGCCAGAUUGAAGGUCCUGGAAGAAGGGGCAGUUCCUACUGAGUCAGUCGGUCUCAGCGUCCUGUGUGAGCAGCCUGUUGUGGUUCCAGACAAUGCAGCAGUCCCGGUGGAGGUGCAGCAGGGAGACUGGCCUUCAGCAGCAGUGGAGGUGCCUUCUGUCAUUCAGCCGGACCACAAAGCAAAAGGGUCAGAGAAAGGACAGUGACAGCAGGAAAUACACAGAACAAAGAGUCUACACAGCAAGAGCCAGGCCAGGCCAGAUCAUAGGAUGCCAACACAGAAGAGGAUGAUGAAUUUGCAUUUAUCAGAGCAAGUACUGGUAUAGUAGAAGCCCUCUACAGGCCUCCAUCAGGUAAGUCAAUAGCUGUCCUGAAUCAGUGCUCGGAUGCAGUAAUGGACAGGAUGAGGAAGAACAAGUUAAGACUCAAUACAGACAAAACAGAAAUACUGUUGUUUGGUGUUUCCUCUGUCCAGCUUCUGAACGGGUCAUCCAACUGUGAAGUUCUGUUGUAUCACCAUCAAACCUAAGAACAAGAACAGCAAAUAUUAGCUCUUAUCUGGCUCAGCUAAUGAUGGAUACUCCUGUGGCUUGAUAGGAUACAACUGCUGCAUGUGAGGAUAUGGUUCUAUACUUGAAUUCCACAGACACCCAUGAUUCUGUGCUUUUAAAGCAAAAAUCAGAUAUUUGCAUUAUAGAUAAGUGUUUCAAACUAGAACCAGGUUUAGGCUAGUUUUCAUGGAUCCAUGGAAAAAGCCAAAAAAGAGUUCUGACAAUGCACACGAUGUUGAGAAAUUAGCUUAAUUCUGAGGAAUCAAAAAUUAUGUUUAAUUACCUGCUCUAUGUUUUUAAAUGGGGGAUGAUUCAAAAUAGCCUGGUCUAUUAUUUUGAACUGGGAAUUGUGGCCAAUAACUCAAUCCACUGCAGUAUUGUUGUACAAUGUUUUUGUGAAAAUGCACUUCCAGAACAUUUUAAAAGCAAAAAUAAAGCUAUUUCAUAUCCUUCCUUACAAAAAAUGGAGAAUGAUG
Molecule: long non-coding RNA, 2003 nt
Organism: Hemicordylus capensis (graceful crag lizard)
Lineage: Eukaryota; Metazoa; Chordata; Lepidosauria; Squamata; Cordylidae
Exons: 4
Source: RefSeq, a predicted model, not a curated record